UACGAAGGGGGCUAGCGUUGUUCGGAAUUACUGGGCGUAAAGGGCUCGUAGGUGGCCAACUAAGUCGGACGUGAAAUCCCUCGGCUUAACCGGGGAACUGCGUCUGAUACUGGAUGGCUUGAGUUCGGGAGAGGGAUGCGGAAUUCCAGGUGUAGCGGUGAAAUGCGUAGAUAUCUGGAGGAACACCGGUGGCGAAGGCGGCAUCCUGGACCGACACUGACGCUGAGGAGCGAAAGCCAGGGGAGCAAACGGG
RNAcentral lists this ribosomal RNA (253 nucleotides) under uncultured bacterium. RNAcentral's name for it is "partial 16S ribosomal RNA". It matches the Rfam family "Bacterial small subunit ribosomal RNA", at positions 524 to 776 of the family's 1533-position model. The record is from RNAcentral.